GAUGAACGCUGGCGGCGUGCCUAAUACAUGCAAGUCGAGCGAACAGACGAGGAGCUUGCUCCUCUGACGUUAGCGGCGGACGGGUGAGUAACACGUGGAUAACCUACCUAUAAGACUGGGAUAACUUCGGGAAACCGGAGCUAAUACCGGAUAAUAUAUUGAACCGCAUGGUUCAAUAGUGAAAGACGGUUUUGCUGUCACUUAUAGAUGGAUCCGCGCCGCAUUAGCUAGUUGGUAAGGUAACGGCUUACCAAGGCAACGAUGCGUAGCCGACCUGAGAGGGUGAUCGGCCACACUGGAACUGAGCCACGGUCCAGACUCCUAAGGGAGGCAGCAGUAGGGAAUCUUCCGCAAUGGGCGAAAGCCUGACGGAGCAACGCCGCGUGAGUGAUGAGGGUCUUCGGAUCGUAAAACUCUGUUAUUAGGGAAGAACAAAUGUGUAAGUAACUAUGCACGUCUUGACGGUACCUAAUCAGAAAGCCACGGCUAACUACGUG
This 497-nucleotide ribosomal RNA is filed under the name uncultured bacterium. RNAcentral describes it as "partial 16S ribosomal RNA". It matches the Rfam family "Bacterial small subunit ribosomal RNA", at positions 28 to 507 of the family's 1533-position model. The record is from RNAcentral.